UAAGGAAUAUUGGACAAUGGAGGCAACUCUGAUCCAGCCAUCCCGCGUGGAGGAAUAAUGCCCUAUGGGUUGUAAACUCCUUUAGCUAGGGAAUAAAUCAGUGGAUUCAUCCGCUGUUGAAGGUACCUAGAGAAUAAGCACCGGCUAACUCCGUGCCAGCAGCCGCGGUAAUACGGAGGGUGCAAGCGUUAUCCGGAUUUACUGGGUUUAAAGGGUGCGUAGGCGGGUUUUUAAGUCAGAUGUGAAAGCCUUGAGCUUAACUCAAGAACUGCGUUUGAUACUGGAGACCUUGAAUUCGAUAGAAGUGGGCGGAAUAAUUCAUGUAGCGGUGAAAUGCUUAGAUAUGAAUUAGAACACCAAUUGCGAAGGCAGCUCACUAUGUCGAUAUUGACGCUGAGGC
Molecule: ribosomal RNA, 400 nt
Filed under: uncultured bacterium
Lineage: Bacteria
Description: bacterial SSU rRNA
Rfam family: Bacterial small subunit ribosomal RNA
Source: RNAcentral